GAGGAAUAUUGGUCAAUGGACGGAAGUCUGAACCAGCCAAGUAGCGUGCAGGAUGACGGCCCUAUGGGUUGUAAACUGCUUUUGUAUGGGGAUAAAGUUAGGGACGUGUCCCUAUUUGCAGGUACCAUACGAAUAAGGACCGGCUAAUUCCGUGCCAGCAGCCGCGGUAAUACGGAAGGUCCAGGCGUUAUCCGGAUUUAUUGGGUUUAAAGGGAGCGUAGGCUGGAGAUUAAGUGUGUUGUGAAAUGUAGACGCUCAACGUCUGACUUGCAGCGCAUACUGGUUUCCUUGAGUACGCACAACGUUGGCGGAAUUCGUCGUGUAGCGGUGAAAUGCUUAGAUAUGACGAAGAACUCCGAUUGCGAAGGCAGCUGACGGGAGCGCAACUGACGCUUAAGCUCGAAGGUGCGGGUAUCGAACAGGAUUAGAUACCCUGGUAGUCCGCACAGUAAACGAUGGAUGCCCGCUGUUGGUACCUGGUAUCAGCGGCUAAGCGAAAGCAUUAAGCAUCCCACCUGGGGAGUACGCCGGCAACGGUG
This 539-nucleotide ribosomal RNA is filed under the name uncultured bacterium. RNAcentral's name for it is "bacterial SSU rRNA". It matches the Rfam family "Bacterial small subunit ribosomal RNA", at positions 356 to 896 of the family's 1533-position model. The record is from RNAcentral.